GGCUAACUCCGUGCCAGCAGCCGCGGUAAUACGGAGGGUGCGAGCGUUAAUCGGAAUUACUGGGCGUAAAGCGCAUGCAGGCGGCCUGUUAAGUCAGAUGUGAAAGCCCGGGGCGUUAACCUCGGAAUUGCAUUUGUAAACUGGCAGGCUAGAGUCUUGUAGAGGGGGGUAGGAAUUUCAGGUGUAGCGGUGAAAUGCGUAGAGAUCUGAAGGAAUACCAGUGGCGAAGGCGGCCCCCCUCGGACAAAGACUGACGCUCAGAUUCGCGAAAGCGUGGGGAGCAAACCAGGAUUAGAUACCCCUGGUAG
RNAcentral lists this ribosomal RNA (308 nucleotides) under uncultured bacterium. RNAcentral describes it as "bacterial SSU rRNA". It matches the Rfam family "Bacterial small subunit ribosomal RNA", at positions 495 to 793 of the family's 1533-position model. The record is from RNAcentral.